CAAGUUUUUAAGGGCGCACGGUGGAUGCCUUGGCACCAGGAACCGAUGAAGGACGUGGGAGGCCACGAUAGGCCCCGGGGAGCUGUCAACCGAGCUUUGAUCCGGGGGUGUCCGAAUGGGGAAACCCGGCAGUCGUCAUGGGCUGUCACCCGCUGCUGAACACAUAGGCAGUGUGGAGGGAACGCGGGGAAGUGAAACAUCUCAGUACCCGCAGGAAGAGAAAACAACCGUGAUUCCGGGAGUAGUGGCGAGCGAAACUGGAUGAGGCCAAACCAGUCACGUGUGAUACCCGGCAGGGGUUGCGUGGUUGGGGUUGUGGGAUCUCUCUUUUGCAGUCUGCCGGCUGUGAGGCGAGUCAGAAACCGUUGAUGUAGGCGAAGGACAUGCGAAAGGUCCGGCGUAGAGGGUAAGACCCCCGUAGCUGAAACAUUAGCGGCUCGUUUGAGAGACACCCAAGUAGCACGGGGCCCGAGAAAUCCCGUGUGAAUCUGGCGGGACCACCCGUUAAGCCUAAAUAUUCCCUGGUGACCGAUAGCGGAUAGUACCGUGAGGGAAUGGUGAAAAGUACCGCGGGAGCGGAGUGAAAUAGUACCUGAAACCGUGUGCCUACAAGCCGUGGGAGCGUCGCUGGUGAGUUUACUCAUCAGUCGUGACUGCGUGCCUUUUGAAGAAUGAGCCUGCGAGUUUGCGGUAUGUUGCGAGGUUAACCCGUGUGGGGAAGCCGUAGCGAAAGCGAGUCCGAAUAGGGCGUGGAGUAGCAUGCUCAAGACCCGAAGCGGAGUGAUCUAGCCAUGGGCAGGUUGAAGCGGAGGUAAGACUUCGUGGAGGACCGAACCCACCAGGGUUGAAAACCUGGGGGAUGACCUGUGGUUAGGGGUGAAAGGCCAAUCAAACUCCGUGAUAGCUGGUUCUCCCCGAAAUGCAUUUAGGUGCAGCGUCGUGUGUUUCUUGCCGGAGGUAGAGCACUGGAUAGGCGAUGGGCCCUACCGGGUUACUGACCUUAGCCAAACUCCGAAUGCCGGUAAGUGAGAGCGCGGCAGUGAGACUGUGGGGGAUAAGCUCCAUGGUCGAGAGGGAAACAGCCCAGAGCAUCGACUAAGGCCCCUAAGCGUGUGCUAAGUGGGAAAGGAUGUGGAGUCGCAGAGACAACCAGGAGGUUGGCUUAGAAGCAGCCACCCUUGAAAGAGUGCGUAAUAGCUCACUGGUCAAGUGAUUCCGCGCCGACAAUGUAGCGGGGCUCAAGUACACCGCCGAAGUCGUGUCAUUGCAGCAUGAGGGCUAACGCCUGUUGUGAUGGGUAGGGGAGCGUCGUGUGCCGGGUGAAGCAGCCGUGGAAACGAGUUGUGGACGGUUCACGAGUGAGAAUGCAGGCAUGAGUAGCGAUACAAGAGUGGGAAACUCUUGCGCCGAUUGACUAAGGGUUCCUGGGUCAAGCUGAUCUGCCCAGGGUAAGUCGGGACCUAAGGCGAGGCCGACAGGCGUAGUCGAUGGACAACCGGUUGAUAUUCCGGUACCCGCUUUGAAGCGCCCAAUACUGAAUCAGGCGAUGCUAAGUCCGUGAAGCCGCCCUGAUCUCUUCGGAGUUGAGGGGAGUGGUGGAGCCGACGGACCAGACUUGUAGUAGGUAAGCGAUGGGGUGACGCAGGAAGGUAGUCCAGCCCGGGCGGUGGUUGUCCCGGGGUAAGGGUGUAGGCCGUGUGGUAGGUAAAUCCGUCGCACGUUAAGGCUGAGACCUGAUGCCGAGCCGAUUGUGGUGAAGUGGAUGAUCCUAUGCUGUCGAGAAAAGCCUCUAGUGAGUUUCAAGGCGGCCCGUACCCUAAACCGACUCAGGUGGUCAGGUAGAGAAUACCGAGGCGUUCGGGUGAACUAUGGUUAAGGAACUCGGCAAAAUGCCCCCGUAACUUCGGGAGAAGGGGGGCCAUUUCUGGUGAGGGAACUUGCUUCCUGAGCUGGGGGUGGCCGCAGAGACCAGCGAGAAGCGACUGUUUACUAAAAACACAGGUCCGUGCGAAGCCGUAAGGCGAUGUAUACGGACUGACGCCUGCCCGGUGCUGGAACGUUAAGGGGACCGGUUAGCUUGGAUUCGUUCAGGCGAAGCUGAGAACUUAAGCGCCAGUAAACGGCGGUGGUAACUAUAACCAUCCUAAGGUAGCGAAAUUCCUUGUCGGGUAAGUUCCGACCUGCACGAAUGGCGUAACGACUUCUCGACUGUCUCAACCAUAGGCCCGGUGAAAUUGCAUUACGAGUAAAGAUGCUCGUUUCGCGCAGCAGGACGGAAAGACCCCGGGACCUUUACUAUAGCUUGAUAUUGGUGUUCGGUUCGGCUUGUGUAGGAUAGGUGGGAGACUGUGAAGCGCCAACGCCAGUUGGUGUGGAGUCGUUGUUGAAAUACCACUCUGGUCGUGCUGGAUGUCUAACCUGGGUCCGUGAUCCGGAUCAGGGACAGUGUCUGGUGGGUAGUUUAACUGGGGCGGUUGCCUCCUAAAGAGUAACGGAGGCGCCCAAAGGUUCCCUCAGCCUGGUUGGUAAUCAGGUGUUGAGUGUAAGUGCACAAGGGAGCUUGACUGUGAGACUGACGGGUCGAGCAGGUACGAAAGUAGGGACUAGUGAUCCGGCGGUGGCUUGUGGAAGCGCCGUCGCUCAACGGAUAAAAGGUACCCCGGGGAUAACAGGCUGAUCUUCCCCAAGAGUCCAUAUCGACGGGAUGGUUUGGCACCUCGAUGUCGGCUCGUCGCAUCCUGGGGCUGGAGUCGGUCCCAAGGGUUGGGCUGUUCGCCCAUUAAAGCGGUACGCGAGCUGGGUUUAGAACGUCGUGAGACAGUUCGGUCCCUAUCCGCUGUGCGCGUAGGAGUCUUGAGAAGGGCUGUCCCUAGUACGAGAGGACCGGGACGGACGAACCUCUGGUGUGCCAGUUGUUCUGCCAAGGGCAUGGCUGGUUGGCUACGUUCGGAAAGGAUAACCGCUGAAAGCAUCUAAGCGGGAAGCCUGCUUCGAGAUGAGGGCUCCCUCCUCCUUGAGAGGGUAAGGCUCCCAGUAGACGACUGGGUUGAUAGGCCAGAUAUGGAAGCACUGUAAGGUGUGGAGUUGACUGGUACUAAUAGGCCGAGGGCUUGUCC
This 3116-nucleotide ribosomal RNA is filed under the name Streptomyces noursei. RNAcentral describes it as "23S ribosomal RNA". It matches the Rfam family "Bacterial large subunit ribosomal RNA". Lineage: Bacteria; Bacillati; Actinomycetota; Actinomycetes; Kitasatosporales; Streptomycetaceae. The record is from RNAcentral.